CUGCCACCUCUUCCGUGCGGCGCCCCCCCCCCCCGUGAGGGCCUCUGUUUUCUGUAUCCGCUUUUCCCAGCCGCUCGGUCUCCCGGUUUCUUCUUUCUGGUGCUCUCCUGCUCUCCCAGCUUCGACUCAUUGCACCUUUUUCUCAUGCUUUCCCGUUGUCCAUUUAAUAUGCUUUUUCAUUUAAUUAAAAUGGGUAAAGUGCAGGUGUAUGAACUACAUUCUUAAAUGAUAUUUUGAAAGUGGAAUUAAAAAUUGAAAUGUAAUACAGCUGAGCAGUCAUUGUUGCUUUUUUUCUUUUGCUGUGCAUAAACAUCUUCUGAAUUUCAGGACUGUUUUUUUCUGGAUGCAGCCGAAUGCACAGAUCAGCAUAUGCCUCUUCUGCUGUUAUACUGUAUUUUUUUUUAACUGAUAUUUUACUGAUGCACUAACUUUACAAAUCAUGUGCUUAUUCUACAAGACCUGACUGGAUACUUUGCUAGUCAUGGGUCACCUCAUCAUUUGACAUUUCUGGAACAUCUUAAACUGCAUGAAAAGUAUUGCAGAUAAAGAAAACAUGGCAACCAUUAAUGUUAGAAAGAAAGAAGUCGCUAGAGAUCCAGAUCACUGUGAUAUCCCAUACUAUGUUUCUGAAUUUGUGGAAAGAGAAGUUGGAAAUGACUAUGAUUCUCUGAGGAAUCUAGACAACCUUGUUGAUAAGCUGUCUGAAAAUAAAAGGCAGUUAGAAGAACAGGUACUUACAGUUUCAUCAGAAGUCCCUAAAAGAAUUCAGAAUGCUUUAAAGAAUGCAGAAGAUUCUAAAAAGUCUCUUAGUCAGCUUUUGGAGGAAGAAACCCUUCUAUCCAGUUCAAUCAGAAGCCACUUACUGAAAGCUCAGCCUUGGAUGGAGGAUCUUGAUGUACUGAUUAGUCAAGUAGAAGAGAUUGAACGGCACCUGUCUUACCUGAAAUGGAUUUCACGAAUAGAAGAGUUAAGUGAUAACAUUCAGCAGUACCUGAUGACCAACAAUGUUCCUGAGGCAGCCACUACUUUAGCAUUCAUGGCAGAACUGGAUAUUAAACUUCAGGAGUCAUCUUGUUCUCAUCUUCUUUCUUUUGUGAGAUCCACUGUUAAAUUCUGGCAUAAAAUUCUUAAAGACAAGUUGUCAAGUGACUUUGAAGAGGUAUUAACCCAGCUUCAUUGGCCGUUUGUGGGGCCACCGCAGUCUCAGGCAUUUGGCCUUGCUGCACCAGCCAGUGCUCCUGAUAUAUACAAUAAUUUGGAGAUGUUAUUUUGUCAACUUUUGAAAUUGCAAACCUCAGAUGAACUACUAACCAAACCUAAACAGUUGCCAGAAAAGUACUCUCUACCUCCAUCACCACCUGUUAUCCUUCCAAUGCAGAUAAUGCUGAAUCCUCUUCAGAAAAGAUUCAAGUAUCAUUUCACCGGAAAUAAACAAACCAAUGUUUUAAACAAGCCUGAGUGGUAUUUAACACAAGUCCUUAUGUGGAUUGGAAGUCAUGCACAGUUCCUUGAUGACAAAAUCCAGCCCAUACUGGACAAGGCAGGAUCUUCAGUGAAUGCUGGGCUUGAAUUCUCUCGUGGUCUAGUAAUGCUGAUUUUGGAGAAGUUGGCUGCUGAUAUUCCAUGCCUUUUAUAUGAUGAUACUCUCUUUUGUCACCUUGUGGAUGAGAUACUUCUAUUUGAGAGAGAGUUAUACACUGUUCAUGGUUAUCUCAGCAGCUUUCCCAGUUGCAUGCAUAUUCUCUCAGAAGAAUCCUGCUUCCAAAGGUGGCUUACGGUGGAAAAAAAAUUUGCUCUUCAGAAAAUGGACUCUAUGCUUUCAUCUGAGGCUGCAUGGAUAUCACAAUAUAAAGAUAUCACUGAUGUUGAUGAAAUGAAAGUCCCAGACUGCGCUGAAACUUUUAUGACUCUGUUGUUAGUUAUAACAGACAGGUAUAAGAAUCUUCCAACAGCUUCCAGAAAACUGCAGUUUCUGGGGUUACAGAAGGAAUUAGUUGAUGACUUCAGGAUACGGUUAACUCAAGUAAUGAAGGAAGAGACUAGAGCUUCUUUAGGCUUUCGAUACUGCGCAAUCCUUAAUGCUGUUAAUUACAUAGCAACAGUAUUGGCAGACUGGGCUGACAAUGUAUUCUUCUUGCAAUUGCAGCAGGCUGAACUAGAGGUUCGUGCAGAAAGUAAUGCUGUCAGUAAACUACAGCUAGGGCAGCUGGCGUCAAUGGAGAGUUCUGUCUUUGAUGAAAUGAUUAACCUCCUAGAACGUCUGAAACAUGAUAUGUUGACUCGUCAGGUAGAUCAUGUCUUCAGAGAGGUCAAAGAUGCUGCAAAGCUGUACAAAAGAGAGAGGUGGCUCUCUCUACCAUCCCAGGCAGAGCAAGCAGUAAUGUCUUUAUCAAGCACAGCUUGCCCAAUGUUGUUGAUCUUCAGAGACCGCCUGCUACAACUAGAACAGCAGCUCUGUCACUCAUUGUUUAAAAUUUUCUGGCAGAUGCUUGCAGAGAAGGUGGAUGUAUUCAUAUAUCAGGAGAUAAUUCUGGCAAAUCAUUUCAAUGAAGGAGGAGCAGCACAACUCCAGUUUGACAUGAGUAGAAAUCUGUUCCCUUUAUUUUCACACUACUGCAAGAGGCCAGAAAACUAUUUCAAACACCUUGACCCACAACAUCCAUCAUCUCGAACAUAGCAGUCAGGUUCGAGUCAUCCAUGAGGCAAGGAUACUCCCCCUCACCUCGCUUUCCAGCCAUCACUCUUUCCAGGACCUGGAUCAGAAACUCGCGUGGUUUUUCUGCAAUGAGAAUUGGCAUGGUAUCAACAUAGGGGACAAUUUCAUACAAAGUAGAACAGGAGAAAGAGCUAACGCUAGUAAAUCAGAUUACUGAGACUCUACUGUCUGUACUGUACCUGCUUUAAUUGGUUAAGAAAUGGUAAGCAAAAAUUAAUUUGCCUGGAUUUCAUCAUACUCAUACUAGAACAGAAAAUCAUUGCUGCCAGCAAAGUUACUAGUUUGUACCACGCUUGCAUUAAUUCAAGGGAAGAGCAAGUUACACAGUAUUGAUUUUAACAUUUCUGCCCCUCUUUUCCACUUCAGCUGCAUUUUUCUUCAUAUCUGGUAAUGCAGUCUACACCUUUUACUUUUUCCCCAUUUUUUUUUUUCCUUUGCCUGGACUCGCUUGCUAAAGGUGGUUUUUACUUAAUCCUAGUAAAUGGGGGUAGAUAACAAAAUGUUAAGAUGCCACCUAGUGGCUUCUAGUAAUGCAUGCUAACUACAGGAAUAAUACUAGUGCCACCCAAUCGUUUUUAAGCUUUAUGUUACAUCCCAAAGUUAUACAGCAGAGGUACCUCUACAGGAGACUGGAGUCUGUCCUCUGCAUGUUGUGAAACUUGGCCUCGAUAUGUUUGUCAAGAGAAAUCGUGCAGCAGAAGACAAACUCUUCAGAGAUCUUCUAAUAUCCCGUAGUGUUUGAAAAGAAGAUUGCAUGUAGGAAGAUGUCUCUUUUGUGUAAAAUCAAGGAAUAGCAACAAACAGUAAGAAACAUGGCUACUUUUAAAAAUCAUUAUUUAGGUUUGCAGCAUAGACUCUGUAAACAGAGCAGAACAGUCACGAAAGACCCUUUUUAUUACCCAAUGUGAAUAAGAGAAAGAUAAUCAAAAAGUGUCCCACUAAGGCAAGAAAAUUCAAGCAAAUCUAGGAAGAUAGCCAUCUGCCAUCAAAUGGAAAAUAGACAAUAAUAAAUGGACAUAUAGUAAAGAAAAUGGAAUUCUUUUGAAACUUAGUUCUAGUACUAUCCAUAUUUAGCUAUUUGCCAAAGCAGAAAUAUCACAAGAUAUUAAUCGAAUCCACCUAUUUUUGAUAGAGGAACAGUGGGAGAAAGGCAACAUUCAAAACUGCAGAGACAAUAUACAUUCUCUGUCUAGUAUUUUUUUAACAGAUUAUGCCAUCUCCCAGAAGUCUUAAUUUGGGCUAGAGGAACUGCCUGGCAGUACUGCAAAUCUCCCUCUCCUAAGGAAUACAGUUCAUAGUACUGAAUCCAGUCCUGAAUUUCACUUUUAUAUCACUUUCAGUAGAAUUUGUAAAGAAAUAACAAAGGCUUUUUCCUACAGGAAGUGAGAUGGGAGAAAGUGUAGUUCGAGAUGCAGAGAAGUACAAGCAAGAGACCUAGCUGGCCAGCAGAGGAGAAAAAAAGACCUGGAGAAUGUUUCUGUGGAAAGGAGAACCUAAGGAUAGGAAGACCAACUAAGAAAGGAAGGAGGAAACGAAAGACUGGAGGGAAGGAAAGCUCCUAUUCAUCUUGGUGGCCCUCCAUUGAACUCAGCUGAGUAUGCCAAAGUCUUGUACUGCGGAGCGCAAAACUGGGCACAGUACUCCAGAUGCAGUCUCUAAAGUGCCAGAACGGACAGGACUAAUCACUUCCCUCAGACUGCUGCCUACAUUUGUGGACAGGUAUGUGGUUAGCUUUCAUCACCACAGGGGCCCGCCACUGACUCACAUGCAGCUGGUCUGCCAGGACCAGCCCAGGUCCUUUUCCUGCAGAGCUGUUUUCUUGGCAAUCAGCACCCAGCUUGUUCAGUUACAAGGGGUUAUUCCUGCCUCCCACAUGCAUGACUUAGGCUUUACCUUUGUUGACCUCAUGAGAUUUCUGUCAGCCCAGUUCUCCAGCGUGUUGAAAUCCCUGCGUCUACUGUAUUAAUCACGCCCCCCCCCCCCAUGACAGCUUUUGGUGUUAUCCAUGAAUUUGCAACCCAUCCCCAUAUCCAGAAUGAUAAUGAAAACCUUCAGUGUUAUUGGCCUCAGUAUUAACUCCUGGGGAAUCCUGCUAGUAGCAAACCAUCAAUUGAACUUCCAACUGCUGACCUCAACCCUCUGAGCCUGCUGUCCAGCCCAUUUUCCAUCCAUCUCAUAUUCCACUCUUUGCAUCCAUCUCUUUCUCCAACUUGGUUAUGAGACUAUAAAAGCGGACUAUGUCAAAAGCCUUGCUAAAGUCAAAGUAAACAACAUUCACUGCUUUCUGUCCAUUCCCCCAAACCAACCAUUUUAUCAUAGAAGGCAAUCAGGUUGAUCAGGAACAAUUCAUAAAUCCAUGUUGGCUGUGCCUGGUCAUGUUCUUGUGCUUGGACAUGGCUUCCAGGAGGAUUUGUUCUGUAAUAUGCCUGGGACUGAGGUUUGGGCUGCGUAGCCUGUAGUUCCCUGGAUCCUUCUUGAAAAUGGGCACAUUUGCCUUUUUCCGGUCCUCAGAAACCUCUCAGGCUCUUUUAAAGAUGAUAGCAGCCAAGCCCCUUGGAUCCAGCCCACCUGGUCCCAUGAAUUUGUGUAUGUCUAGGUUAAGCACUCCCUAACUCAGCCUUCCUCUUGCAUGGAUAAUACCUCACUCCCUAGACUCUGCCCAGAGGCCUGAGCACAGACCUUUCCAGUAAAAACUGAAGCAAAGAUGACACUGACUACCUCAGUCUUUUCUCUGUCCUUUGUCACUAGGGUACCUGCCCCACCUAGUACGGUCCACUUUUUCCUCAGCCUUCCUUUUGCUGUUGAGGUACCUACAGAAAAUCUUUUUGUCCUUCAUGUCCCUCACUGGUUUCAACUCCAGCUGCGCUUUGGCUUUCCUAGUUCUGUUCCAGCAAGUCCAGACAAUGUUUCUAUAUUCCUCCAGGGUAGCCCAUCCCUGCUUCUGCCUCCUCCUGUACACUUGCUUUUUGCAUUUGAUUUCUGUCAGGAGUUCCUCAUUCAGCCAAGCUGGCCGCCUCCUGUACCUGCUCAACUUUCUGCACAUAAGAAUAGACUGUUCUUGUGCUUCAGCUAGUUUCCUGAUGCCCCUUUGCCCUUCGGGGCAGUCUUCUAUGGGAGUCUGCCAAAAAAAAAAAAAAAAAAAAAAAAAAAGUGCCUGAAUGAGACAAAGCAUGCUCUCCUGAAUUCCUGGGUUGCAAUUCUACUAUUUAUCUUGCUCACUUCUCUCAGUAUCUUAAAACUUUACUAUUUCAAAGUCUCUGCUGCCAAGGCUGCCAUCAAUCUAAUAUCCCUCACCAGGCCUUCCUUGCUUGUGAGUUGCAUGCCUAACACAGCAACACUCUGUGUGAAUAAGUUGUCCUUGACACGCUACAGAAGUAACCUGAACUGCUUGUGCUCCACCAUGUUGCCAUUCCAGUCUUCUCCAUGAGAACCAGAGUCUGCAACUGUGAGGCCAGCUGUGAAUGUUUUCUCCAGUCAACUGCAAAAUGAGGACUAUACCUGCUGACAAAAGGUUAUAUACUGAGAAGAAUUAAACAUCGGGAAUUAGAAAAAUAUUUCCAUUCACUGUUUCUGAGUCAAAGAGAAGUAAAAAUGUGACUUUUAGGUUGUGUAACUUAAUGUCUGGGAACUCAGCUGUCUUACAGAACUGGCCACUUCCCAGUUGAAUGAAACCCAGGAAACCAAUUUCCUACCAUUUGGGUGAGACCUUUGCUGAAGGCAAAGGGAAAAAUGAAGUUACUUAGCAGGAACCUGCAUUCCUUGAGAUAUAUAGUAUACCCUUCUUGUGGCUCUGUGCCCCAAGCUCUUAAGACCGGAGACUUUUUUUUAAUCAUAGCAGUAUCCGUAGACUAUGUUCAGGCUACACAGGGCUGUAUAAAUUGUAGUUCACCUCCAUUGCUUUGCUUACUCUGACCCCUCCCAGUCCAAAAAAAAGAGACAUUUUGAACUACAAAAAAGAGGAGGGGAGGCAAUUAGAGGAAGCAAAUGUAAGUGUGAAAUAUGCAUCUCUAAAGACUCAAGUUACAGGUGAAUAAUCUCUUUUUUUUCUGUAUUUGACCGUUAGUCCACAUGUGUAUUCUAACUGUAGUCACUUAAGUCAGUACCCUAUAGAAGUACAAUUACCAGGAAGAGGUCUUGAAGCAUUUCCUGAUAUCAGCAUUACUCCACCAGAUUCAACAGAUGCAUCAGCAUUUGGUGAAUGUGAAUGUCAGUGUAGAUGGUUUCCCACAGGUGUCAAGAAUGGAGAUACUCUUCACAUGGGCUGCAACAGUGCAUAUGCUAUAAUGGAGCAUGUUCUGAUUACUGGGGACAGUAGAUUCAGAACAUAAUGCUGUGUAAUCUGUUACACAGCCAUCCUUUGUGUAAAGGUGUUCAUGAUUCUUCAAAAAACAGAGAUUAACAUGCUUGGAGAAUCUCUGUAGUGCUUGUUUCCGUGAAUGUAAAAAGGUAAGACUUAUUAGAGCAGACAGUAGUUUCUUGGCCUCACUCUAUGAUGUCUCAGAAACAACACAGGUACAUUGGUACAAAUAAAACUCUGUGAUACAUCUCCAGGGAGAGAUUUAGAAAAAAAUCCAAUGGCGUACCUGUCUGGGAAAGACACAGUAGAGUGCCAAUGAUAAGGCCUUGGAUAUCAGCAGCUCCAAGUGGGAAUUACAGCUACUGAGAACUAAUAGCUACCAAGUUACUUAAUGAAUAAUAUUAAGAACAAGCAAUAAAGGCGGCUCAGUAUUGUGAAAAUACCUAAGAAGGCUCUAAGAAGCAUUUCUGAGAAACUGACCGUACAGGACAGUCCUUGCGGACAGAUCAUCAUUAUUGCUUCCUCAACAUUUGGAUCAUAUGAUAAUUCAGGUUGGAAGGGACCCCAGGAGGUUUCUAGACCAACCACCUGCUCGAAGCAAGGUCAGCUUUGAGGUCAGACCAGGUUACUCGAGGCUUUAUCCAGCUGGAUCUUGAAAACACCCAAGGUCCUCCAGGACCUGGAGGCUCUGUCACCAUUCCCUCCUAGAGGCGAAGCUGGAAAUAGCUGACAUGGACACUUUGGCCUCACAGAAUCGCACUUGGCAGUUUAUCAGGCUGUUCAUUAUGUUUACUUCAACAGGCCCUUUACACCUACAGUAUUCUGUAAAUACACCUUGACCAUUCUAAACAGGUUUUCUGAAAAAAUUAGUUUUUGGGGGUGUUUGCGUACCUUGCUAGUAACUGCUUCAAAAUAAUCAAACCCAGCUUUAAUUUCAGAACUAAGUCCUUCAGGUUUUGGAAAUCUGCAAUGAGGUAGCUGAAUGUUCUGCAUCAUCUGGAAUCCCUACUACUGUCUUUAACCUCAGAUCAAGCUCUCCUGGAUCCUGAUUGUUCUUUUUGUCAGGCUUCCUUUAAAGAGUCCCUUUGUGGGGAGAACAGAUCACAGACUAGAUCUAAAUGUUUCUGCAGGUCAGCUAUAAUAAACAAACAAAAUCAAAGAA
Dromaius novaehollandiae (emu) is the source of this 8175-nucleotide RNA transcript. It is a transcript of the gene named RAD50 interactor 1, with no coding region annotated. The transcript has 16 exons. Lineage: Eukaryota; Metazoa; Chordata; Aves; Casuariiformes; Dromaiidae. The record is from RefSeq and is a predicted model, not a curated record.